GGUUGCAGUUGACCUCCUCCUGGCCACCCACGAUGCUGAAGCCAAGGCUGCCCGACAUGCUCCGUCGCAGCACGAUGUCCUUGCAGCUGUACAGAUGCCUGUGGGAGCAUGUGGAAGGGGAUGAAGAAGAAAUGGGCCAAAGCAUAAGGGAGCACUAACAAACCUGGGCAGCUGCAGCCACGACACCCACAGCGGGGAGUAGUCGUUGUUGUUGGGCGGCGGGCUCUUGGUGCUGCUGUCGGGCGAGGGCGCAAGGCAGGGCGGCAGCUCGCCCUCCGGCAGACCUUCGUCGGGGGGGCGCAUCUCCAGGACUUUGAGCACCACGGGCGACGAGGUGUUCUUCAGGUUGGCCACGGCCUCGCUCCGCGUCACCCCCGUCAGAUCCACGCCGUUCACGUUGAGCAAGAUGUCGCCUACGGGGCGGGGGGCGGAGACAAAGGGAAAGUGAAAUAAUGAAGAAGAAAAUCAUUUGUGGCGGCAUCAGAGAGAAACAGGAAAAGCCAAAGACUUCAACAGCUCCUUGAGAGUGUUCUCAUUUUUGCUCUCCACCGACCUGUAUAAGCAGAGCAGCGUGUUCCGGGG
Long non-coding RNA from Phyllopteryx taeniolatus (common seadragon), 582 nucleotides. RefSeq lists it as uncharacterized. The record is from RefSeq and is a predicted model, not a curated record. The transcript has 4 exons. NCBI's taxonomy places the organism in Eukaryota, Metazoa, Chordata, Actinopteri, Syngnathiformes, Syngnathidae.